RNAcentral lists this ribosomal RNA (497 nucleotides) under uncultured bacterium. RNAcentral describes it as "partial 16S ribosomal RNA". It matches the Rfam family "Bacterial small subunit ribosomal RNA", at positions 28 to 507 of the family's 1533-position model. The record is from RNAcentral.
GAUGAACGCUGGCGGCGUGCCUAAUACAUGCAAGUCGAGCGAACGGACGAGAAGCUUGCUUCUCUGAUGUUAGCGGCGGACGGGUGAGUAACACGUGGAUAACCUACCUAUAAGACUGGGAUAACUUCGGGAAACCGGAGCUAAUACCGGAUAAUAUUUUGAACCGCAUGGUUCAAAAGUGAAAGACGGUCUUGCUGUCACUUAUAGAUGGAUCCGCGCUGCAUUAGCUAGUUGGUAAGGUAACGGCUUACCAAGGCAACGAUGCAUAGCCGACCUGAGAGGGUAGUCGGCCACACUGGAACUGAGACACGGUCCAGACUCCUACGGGAGGCAGCAGUAGGGAAUCUUCCGCAAUGGGCGAAAGCCUGACGGAGCAACGCCGCGUGAGUGAUGAAGGUCUUCGGAUCGUAAAACUCUGUUAUUAGGGAAGAACAUAUGUGUAAGUAACUGUGCACAUCUUGACGGUACCUAAUCAGAAAGCCACGGCUAACUACGUG